GACGAACGCUGGCGGCGUGCUUAACACAUGCAAGUCGAACGGAAAGGCCCUGCUUUUGUGGGGUGCUCGAGUGUCGAACGGGUGAGUAACACGUGAGUAACCUGCCCUUGACUUUGGGAUAACUUCAGGAAACUGGGGCUAAUACCGGAUAGGAGCUCCUGCUGCAUGGUGGGGGUUGGAAAGUUUCGUCGGUUGGGGAUGGACUCGCGGCUUAUCAGCUUGUUGGUGGGGUAGGGGCUUACCAAGGCUUUGACGGGUAGCCGGCCUGGGAGGGUGAGCGGCCACAUUGCGACUGAGAUACGGCCCAGACUCCUACGGGAGGCAGCAGUGGGGAAUAUUGCACAAUGGGCCGAAGCCUGAUGCAGCAACGCCGCGUGCGGGAAGACGGCCUUCGGGUGGUAAACCGCUUUCGCCUGUGACGAAGCGUGAGUGACGGUAAUGGGUAAAGAAGCACCGGCUAACUACGUG
Molecule: ribosomal RNA, 468 nt
Filed under: uncultured bacterium
Lineage: Bacteria
Description: partial 16S ribosomal RNA
Rfam family: Bacterial small subunit ribosomal RNA
Source: RNAcentral